CAUUGUGAUACACUGUGAUGAGUAUACUAUCAGAAAUAACAAUAAGCACUAUGAGAAUAUGGAUAUAACAGUUUGAGUUAGUCACAAGAAGAUGAAGGUUUGCUGUAUUUCUGACAUGUUUUUUUAAAUGUGUUGGAUGUUUUCUGCUUCCUUUUUUGGAUCAUUUAUAUAUUAUUUCUCAACUUUUUUACUUAAUAUUUUACGUUCUGAAAUAUUUUAUAUAUUGAGAUAUGAUAUUGAAGCUUUUGAAUCUCUUCAUGUUUUCAUUAUAUUGUAUGUACUUCAGUAAUUCAUAGAAAUAUUGGAAUAUAUUUACUUAAAACCUAAUUUUUUAGAAAGAUAUUAUUUAAUUGACUAUUCUUACUUGCCAGGUACUUUCUAGAAUACUUAAUUUUAUUGUACUUUUCAUUAUUUACCGUUUAUAAUUUGGAGGUAAGACCAUUAGACCCAAAGAACUUUUGUCUUGGUGUGUUCUUGUUUAAAUAUGGAAUUUAUUUUACAAAAUAGUUUUGUUUUGUAUACAUGUCUAGUCUCAAGGGCGAAGUGAAAUCUUAAUGAGUCUACAGAAAGUUCUAAGUGGACUGGGUGGUGCAGCAGCUUCCUCCCAUCGUGAUAUUUACAAGAAUGCCAGGUCUCUCUUGACUGAUAGGUCAAUGGCUGUUCGAUGUGCAGUGGCCAAGUGUCUACUAGAACUACAGAAUGAAGCUGUAUUUAUGUGGACUGCUGAACUAGAAAAUAUAGCCACUCUCU
RNAcentral lists this long non-coding RNA (750 nucleotides) under Homo sapiens (human). Its description in RNAcentral is "non-protein coding lnc-EIF2AK2-1:1". Lineage: Eukaryota; Metazoa; Chordata; Mammalia; Primates; Hominidae. The record is from RNAcentral.